UACGUAGGUGGCAAGCGUUGUCCGGAUUUACUGGGCGUAAAGAGCGCGCAGGCGGUCGUUCAAGUCGCGUGUGAAAGCCCCCGGCUCAACUGGGGAGGGUCACGCGAUACUGAUCGACUGGAAGGCAGGAGAGGGUAGUGGAAUUCCCGGUGUAGUGGUGAAAUGCGUAGAUAUCGGGAGGAACACCAGUGGCGAAGGCGGCUUUCUGGGACGGUACCGACGCUGAGACGCGAAAGCGUGGGGAGCGAACAGG
Molecule: ribosomal RNA, 253 nt
Filed under: uncultured bacterium
Lineage: Bacteria
Description: partial 16S ribosomal RNA
Rfam family: Bacterial small subunit ribosomal RNA
Source: RNAcentral